UCGGCCUUAGUGGCGGACGGGUGAGUAACGCGUAGGUAUCUAUCCAUGGGUGGGGGAUAACACUGGGAAACUGGUGCUAAUACCGCAUGACACCUGAGGGUCAAAGGCGCAAGUCGCCUGUGGAGGAGCCUGCGYUUGAUUAGCUAGUUGGUGGGGUAAAGGCCUACCAAGGCGAUGAUCAAUAGCUGGUUUGAGAGGAUGAUCAGCCACACUGGGACUGAGACACGGCCCAGACUCCUACGGGAGGCAGCAGUGGGGAAUAUUGGACAAUGGGGGCAACCCUGAUCCAGCAAUGCCGCGUGUGUGAAGAAGGUCUUCGGAUUGUAAAGCACUUUCGACGGGGACGAUGAUGACGGUACCCGUAGAAGAAGCCCCGGCUAACUUCGUGCCAGCMGCC
Molecule: ribosomal RNA, 397 nt
Filed under: Acetobacter pasteurianus
Lineage: Bacteria; Pseudomonadati; Pseudomonadota; Alphaproteobacteria; Acetobacterales; Acetobacteraceae
Description: bacterial SSU rRNA
Rfam family: Bacterial small subunit ribosomal RNA
Source: RNAcentral